UACGGAGGGUGCAAGCGUUAAUCGGAAUUACUGGGCGUAAAGCGCGCGUAGGUGGUUUGGUAAGCGAGAUGUGAAAGCCCCGGGCUUAACCUGGGAACGGCAUUUCGAACUGCCAGACUAGAGUGUGGUAGAGGGUAGUGGAAUUUCCUGUGUAGCGGUGAAAUGCGUAGAUAUAGGAAGGAACACCAGUGGCGAAGGCGGCUUCCUGGUCUGUAACUGACACUGAUGCGCGAAAGCGUGGGGAGCAAACAGGAUUAGAUACCCUGGUAGUCCCU
This 275-nucleotide ribosomal RNA is filed under the name uncultured prokaryote. Its description in RNAcentral is "partial 16S ribosomal RNA". It matches the Rfam family "Bacterial small subunit ribosomal RNA", at positions 524 to 798 of the family's 1533-position model. The record is from RNAcentral.